GAAAUGCGAUAAUUAAUGUGAAUUGCAGAAUUCAGUGAAUCAUCGAGUCUUUGAACGCACAUUGCGCCCCCUGGUAUUCCGGGGGGCAUGCCUGUCCGAGCGUCAUUGCUGCCCUCAAGCACGGCUUGUGUGUUGGGCUUCCGUCCCUGGCAACGGGGACGGGCCCAAAAGGCAGUGGCGGCACCAUGUCUGGUCCUCGAGCGUAUGGGGCUUUGUCACCCGCUCCCGUAGGUCCAGCUGGCAGCUAGCCUCGCAACCAAUCUUUUUAACCAGUUGACCUCGGAUCAGGUAGGGAUACCCGCUGAACUUAAGC
RNAcentral lists this unclassified non-coding RNA (313 nucleotides) under plant metagenome. RNAcentral describes it as "partial contains 5.8S ribosomal RNA, internal transcribed spacer 2, and large subunit ribosomal RNA". The stretch from base 1 to 105 matches the Rfam family "5.8S ribosomal RNA", at positions 50 to 154 of the family's 154-position model. The record is from RNAcentral.